RNAcentral lists this ribosomal RNA (253 nucleotides) under uncultured bacterium. RNAcentral's name for it is "partial 16S ribosomal RNA". It matches the Rfam family "Bacterial small subunit ribosomal RNA", at positions 524 to 776 of the family's 1533-position model. The record is from RNAcentral.
UACGUAGGGUGCGAGCGUUAAUCGGAAUUACUGGGCGUAAAGCGUGCGCAGGCGGAUAUAUAAGUUAGAUGUGAAAUACCUGAGCUUAACUUGGGAGGUGCAUUUAAGACUGUAUGUCUAGAGUUUGUCAGAGGGGGGUAGAAUUCCAAGUGUAGCAGUGAAAUGCGUAGAGAUUUGGAGGAAUACCAGUGGCGAAGGCGGCCCCCUGGGAUAGAACUGACGCUCAUGCACGAAAGCGUGGGUAGCAAACAGG